This 114-nucleotide ribosomal RNA is filed under the name Acanthosepion pharaonis. Lineage: Eukaryota; Metazoa; Mollusca; Cephalopoda; Sepiida; Sepiidae. The record is from RNAcentral.
UUACAGCCAUAUCAAGUUGAAACAACAGUUCUCAUAUGAUCACUGGAGUUAAGUAAUGUCAUGCAUGGUCAGUACCUAGAUGGGUGACUGCUUAGGAAUACCAGGUGCUGUAAG